RNAcentral lists this unclassified non-coding RNA (10801 nucleotides) under Megachile rotundata (alfalfa leafcutting bee). Its description in RNAcentral is "f-box only protein 33, transcript variant X3". The record is from RNAcentral. Lineage: Eukaryota; Metazoa; Arthropoda; Insecta; Hymenoptera; Megachilidae.
UAAAGUAAUAGCAAACUUUUAUUCAGUUCGUAUGAAUAUUAUGUUUUUGUAUAAUUAAUAUAAAAAUGUACAUAGUUUGUUUUGUAUUUAAAUACAAACAAUUUGUUACGCAGAAUAUUACUCCGAUCAUGAAAGAUCGUACUUAAAUGGCGCAAUGUGGCUAACUUCAGUAGACUCUCGCCAGUUAGACCUGCCCCACUAUCAUACGCUUUUAAUUCCGUCGGCCAUAUACACGGUGGGCAAAAUUAUAUGAAUGAGAAGAAGAGGUGAUGUAGAGCAAGGAUUACAUAGCAAAAGAUCACUGGAUAUACAUGUCUAGCAUAACGAAAACCACAAACGCACAUGCGUUUGUUCUUGGUUACGAAGUGUACUCAAUCCAAUCAGCAUUAAGGUGCGCAUGAUGAACAAAUAUCUUGUCGAGUGUCGAGUAUGAUCUCGCACUGCGCGAGUAAUAUCGCGUAUGUUGUCAAAAAAUAACGAGCCAUACACAGUUAACAUGCGUAGAAGAUUAACCAAUGAGAAAAGAGAAUUUGACGCGUAUCAUGCGUACAAGCAUACAUACCCGAACGACAGUUAAAGCGGUUGGAAGUUACGGGUAAGAGCGCAAUACACGUCAAGCUCUUAUUUUCAUUCGUGGAGGAGGCUCGCCGCGAACAAACGGGUGACCGAGUCCGAAGGAUUUGCAAAGAAAAUCCAGGAUAUAGGUCACCAACAACUGGUUAAAUAUGAUACGCGCUGAAAAUGGGGGUGUUGUAUAUUUGGAACAGUUAAAAAAUUCGGUAGAGAGUGACGCGACAGAGAAGGCAACGUCAAGAAAGUGCGAGGGGCAGCUGUCUUCACUGAAGGCAAACAGCUGUUCGUCCUACAAAGGUGCAAAUCGUACGACAGAAAUGGCGCAAGAAGACAAUAAUCCGUGCUGGGAUAACCUGCCAAGCGUUAUCCUGCAGGAAAUAUUCUCAUAUUUACCACACAACUGCCGGUUAAGAGCCUCCCAGGUUUGUAGAAAUUGGAGGUAUUCUUUGUUUCAUCCCCGUUUUUGGAAAAAAAUUACGUUUGCUCUGAAAGACGAAGACAGUAUAUCAUGGUCCCGAGUUUUAGGAGAAAGUUUUGGACUUAGUGUGCGUGAAGUUACAAUUCGCUGUGAUACCCCAAAUCAUUCUGUGGAGGAAACAUUAGCUCUUUUAAAGAAACUGAGUUGUAACAGGCAACUACGUAAAUUGUUUUUGGAGUCCAGCAGUAGCUGUUUUGAAUAUGAUGAUGAUGAUGAAGACAGUCAAGGAUACACCACUCCACUGAUAAAAUCUCUUGUGAAAAUUAUUGAAACAUCUAAUCAUUUAGAAGCUUUAAGUUUAGGAUGCAUAGAAGAAUUAACAGCAUCUGCUGGUAUACUUUUGGAACCUCUUCGUCUACAUCAUGCUAAACACUUGACAACUCUUAGUUUAGCAUCCGUUAGAGAUGAUCCUGAUGAUUUUGACUUUGAGCAAUUCGAUUAUGAAUUUGUUUUUAAUUCCUUUAUCAGAUUAUCUAUUUUAACACUAGAUUAUGAGUUUGUAAGUGAUUAUUUACUGCAAGCAUUAGACAAUGGCAUCAUGGAAAGACUCGUAAUUCAUGUACAUGGUUGGAAUGACAAUUAUUUAGGAACAACAGACAGUGCUUGGCAAAAUUUUAUUCAAAAAAACCCAAAAUGUGAGCUGCGAUUAAACCUUAUACACUCUUACAAUGGCAUUGUAAUGUUAGAUACUGAUAUACUCCGACCUUCCAUGCCUCUUACACACUUAAAAGUUUUAUUUUGUGAAAACAUUAAUAUCAGAGCAUUACAUCGACUGUCUAGCUGGUACUCGCUUACUUUAAAGUCUUUGACAUGGAUUGAUUCUAUGGAUCAUAGACAAGACCCAUCAAAUGAAUUGGCACCUUUGAAUGAACAAAAUGAACGAGAUAGCCCCCCUGAUCCGUUAGUAUUAGUUGCAUGGAAGUGUACCAAACUUGUGGAAAUUGUAUUCAUAGGCCAUAAAUAUUAUCAAGAAAACUUACUAGCUAUUGCACGUCUACGAGGAUCCUCCCUUAAAUCGUUAAUGUUUGCACAAAGAUACAUCGUAUCUGAUAGCGAAUCUUGGCAUAUGGGUGAAACCAUUACACAAGAAAUAGAAGAAAUAAUGGGACCUCGGUGGAAACUGUUAAGCGAUGCAGAUUUACCUGCAGUCGUGAAUGAUCCUUUUGGAGGCGAUAGUAGAGAAGUUAUCAUGCCAUUGGUCCUUUGUGACCAAAAGUAAUUUUCAACGCGUGAAAUGGAAAAAAAUUACUCCCAAACAUCGUACACUGACAUCACCAACAAUUUCUGGGCGAGCUACAUUCUCAGAAGUAAAGUUAUAAAAGUUAAAUCUUUUAUUUUUCUAUAAUGUUUGUUUUUAUGGGAACUACGAAUGGAACGUUGAACAGCGAAUGCGUAUAAGUUCGUAGUUCAAAGUCAGUAAAACUAACGGAUACAAUAUUGCCUGUCAGAAUGGAGAAUGAAGUGAUUUGCGUCGGUUUCUUUAACGAGAAACCUUCGAUAAUGGAAUCACGUUUCAUUGCUAACAGUGGUGGUCUCAAAAUCAGAACAAGAGCAAUAUACUUGCAAUGAUCGUUCCUCUCGCCGACGAAUAUUAGGAAAGAAAAAUAAAUACGAAUGUAACGGGGUUUAAUAGAUAUAAAAAAAUGGAGCAUUAUUGGACGUUCAAGGUCUUAGCAAACAGACCUUUAGUGUGUCCGUGGCAUACUUGUGAUGUCACGGAGAAAGUGAAAUUCAAAUACACGAAGGCAGUACGCUACCAAUAAGAGGUGAUCAUCGUACCAAGCAAAGAAAAGGAAGAACGAGACUAAUAGAAAACACGAAGAGAAAGGAUCGAUCUCGCACCAUCAUCCACUGGCAAGCGUAACGAAAUUCCAAACGUAUGUAAGUAAAAAAAAAAAAUCAUGUUAACAAAUAUUUUUCCAAUUCUAUGGAAAAUUUAGAUCAAGCGAGCGCCAAGAGCAUGCAGUGUAAGAAAGAGUAACUAAAAUGGUAGACUUCGCGAAAGAGUUUGUGCAGCAGAUAUACAAAGAUGCACUGCAAUAAGAAGUCGAACAGCGAUCCGAGGUUAUUUUUAAUACCAAAACCAAUCGGACGCUCUUGUACAAAUGUUAAAUGAAUGUGUGCCGAGAAGAGUGCGGUUGAUCUGGUGGUACAUGAAACAAAGUUAAAACAUACAGAAUAUGUAGAUCGUAAUAGAGGGAAAAAUGAUAUCAUUGAAUGACCCGUUAAAAAACCUGUAUAACUUCCAGAAAGAAGUACCGUCUCUUCACCGUGCUCUUAGCGACCGCUGAAAACGAACACAAUUAUAGUUAUCUAUAAAAGAAAAAUCAGAUGAAUUUAGCUGCUAAUCGUGUAUGUGUAUAAUGUAUGUAUAUCUGUAUUAUCUGUCGAACUUUAAAUGUUAAAUAUUCGGAUGCCACAUGCAUCUAUUUCUGUCGUGCGAUUAAUGACGAUUUUGAACGUUUGAAAAAAAAAAAUAAGGUGAUCCGUCACAACACAAAGAAAAAAUACCAAAAGAACAACCGUGUAUACAGUUUGUUAUUCCGAGAGGUUAUUUACUUUUUUUCGAGCCCUUGUAUAAUUAUUAUUACAUCGUCACGUAUCGUACUUGUAGUCACGUAUAUACCAUUGUUUUUUAUAUGUGGUUCUGUACAUACAUUCAUGCGUUUAAAAUUAUUGGACACGCGCAAAAAUCGCGGAGUUGCGCCCGAAUUUAAAGAAAGAAAAGAAAGAAAAAUGAAGAGCGAAAUAAUAUCUAGCCGUGUUUAUUUAAAGAAGGGUGAAAAGAGAGGUUCGAGUAAAGGGCUAGGCACAAGAUAACGAGAAAACUAUUUCUUUAAACGAUUUAAGCUGUUAUACAAGAUGAACGGGCCUUAACAUGUACCUGAGUCGCGGUAAGAAUAAAUUUACCGAAAAAAAUCUGAUACGCGACAGCCACCAUAAGAAAAUAAUCGUAGACACCUUAACGGACAUUUUUAGGCGACUCGCUGGAACACCUGGCUGUGUCACUCGCCAAAAAAUGCCCGACGAUUAAGGUAUGCUCUCGUGCCCUUUCAUUUCGUAUUCCGUGCGCGUGUAUUUCUCUUUUUUUACGUCAACAAAUUCGCGAUGAAAACGGAACCGACGAUUCGUUAUUUAGAAGCUCGCAAACUUGUUUGUCAACUAUUAAAUGUUGCGCGAACGGGUUAGAUUUUAUUUCUUCUUCUUCUUUUUAAUUUUGCUCGUGUUUUUUUUGUAAUCGAACGAAGUCCCGCAUAAACAGUAUACUCGCGGGCACGGUGCCCGGCGUAUGAGUCUAAAGAGAGAGCGAGAGAGAGAGCGCGAGCGAGCGAGCGAGAGAGAGAGAGUGAAAGAACAUAAUGUGACGUUGCGAAAUGAUAACGUAUGAGAGAGAACGGAAUUAACGAAAGAUGAUGAUACGCGUUCGGAUAUAAGAACGAUGAUAUCCAAAUGAGUAAUAGAAGCAGAAACAAAACUUAAAAAAAGUAAGAAAAAAAGUAUCAAACGAUACGUAGUACCAUCUCUGCGAAUUCACCGUGUACAAAGUCUUUAGAAAGAAGAAUGGCAUUCGUGCAGCUGCUUAACCAAACGGGCACAACCCAAUUACACAUUAAUAUCGAUAUAAACGCGUUGCGACAAACCAAGCAUAAGACUGAACCUGCCGGGAAAGGUAUUACACCAGUUAGGUGAGCUGCACGUGUUGCCAACGUCCGACCUCAUAUUCAUAAAGCAACAGAGGACGAUCCCGACUAAACGGAAAGCAUCGUUCGCGAAUCAUCGAAACGAAAUUAAUCACAUCGAUGUUGCGUGUACGAUCGCGUGCAGAUUAGGCUUCUUUCGAUUAGCGGAAAGUGCAGGAAAAAGGGUAUCGCAUUCGAGAUAUCUAUAACGCAGUCUCGCUAUAUGGCCUCGAACGGGACUAGAACACAGCGUCUUGCUAUCAAUGGUGUAGCUCGCGAAUUCCAAAUUUCUCAGUUAGAAAAUUGAUAGAUUGCCAAAUUUGAAAACUUAUAAAUUACUAGGUCCCCUUCUGCGCUUACUUUUAGUCAGAGAUAGCCUACUUUGCACACUCGUGUACUCGUAAAAUAAUGUAUAAUGGUUGUCUCCAAGAUCGUUGCUCGUAUAACGGUUUCCUUUAACUGCACGUACGAUUUAGCUUUCCGUCUUAGCUCGCGGCUCUCGUCGAUUCGCCCCUGAUGAUUUGAGCCACGCGAACACACCGAAUUUAUGAAUAUGCGGCGUCGUUAAAAAAAAAACGAAGGGAUGGUGCGUCAGCUAGUGUUUAGAUCGGACAAACGCCCCGUGAAAAAAAGCUCACUCGACCGGGUGGUUCUCGUAGCCGAUAAAAUAUGUACUAACCUUUAAGCAGCCUGCCAAGAAUCAAAAUACUGUAUAAUAUCAAACGAACGCUAGCCAGUACAGAAUGCUAAGAUCUAUUUUUUAAGAAGCGAAUGUAUAUUUUUGUACUAAGGCAGGCCUUAGUUGUGACUCGUGUGUAUUCUUGCGCGUUAAAACAAAUGGCACAAGACGUGAGAUCUGUGAUCGUGUAAUAUCGUGUCGGCUUAGCGAGAAAACAAAAUAACAUACGUAUAGGCAAAGUCGUUGAGCAAGAGAGAGAUAAUAAGUAGCACCAAGUGGCGGGAGAAAUAGCAAGGAAAUAAAGCGACGUGUGUCCCUGCUUUUGUUAUAUCGAGUGGGCUAUAGGUAAAUAAUAAGGGGCGACGAUAAAUCGAGAAGAAAACAUCUGUGAUAAAAAAAAAUAUAAAACCUUAGAAAGGGUGCUCGGGAAAAAGGUGGCGAUAGAGAGACAGAGAUCAAGCGUGCGUUUUAAAGGGGGGGAAAGAAGAAUCUAACAAAACGAAGAGCGAAAGAGAGAAAUAUAGGGGGAAGACGGAAUCCUGCGUGUAUUAGGAAAACGAUACGCGAGACAUUGCAAUUCCUAACGAAAAAAGAAGAUGUUUAGAAAUGCUUUUAGAAGAUCUAUUGCGCGAAAAAUGUUCGUCGUGUGUAUAUGACUAAUCGACAGAUGGUGACUGUCUUUCGACGAGAUAGCCCGGUCUAACUAAUGCAGUGGGUACCAAUCGUCUUGACCAUCCUUGUUCAAGUAAUCGUGUGGGUUUCGAUAAACGCUUUUCUAACAACGGAUCCGAACGAAGAAAAUCUUUCUUUAUUCCAACGCUUUGUUAAAGUACGUGUUCUUUCGGACGAUUAGAUUCUUAACCCUUUCGCUGCUACGACCCUUUCGUUGCCACGAGCAAUUACAGUAAAAGGGCUACCGUUGAUAAGUUAUUGAUACGCCAAAAACAUUUCUGGUUGCAAAUGAAUUUUAUUAAAAAUAUGAUUUUAUAUACGAUCGGAGUUAAAACGGUUUUCGAGCAGAGGCGGCCGUAGCGAAAAGGUUAAACUCGAACGCUAUUUAAAUAAAUCUGACAUUCCACUCGAAACUGCGAGAACUGAAGGUUACGCGCGUAAUCUUACCGUCGUUACGUAGCGCCAUGAUAGAAUUAAUUUAAUAUACCUUGAAAAACUUCGAACAAGGAGUUGUCUCUGUCGUGUUAGGACAAAAGAACGAAUACAGUAUACGCGAAAGAGGUGAUUCAAAGGAAUUCGAUCGAUCCUUGUUCGAAGUUGCGUAAAUCGUGCGUUACAAUAGGCCACGUGACUCGCCUUUAUCGUGCCCACGUGAUCUCAGGAUAAGUCAGGACGUCGUACGCCACCAGUAUAGUAUUAUAAGUUCCUAAAGAAAAAAAAAGAAACAAGAUAUUUUACAUGGGUUUUAAGUGAUCGAUAGAACGAACCCGGCAAUUACGAAUAAAACGCAUAUUUCACACGAACAGAGCAUUCGGUUCGAUGUUACGUACAAAACAAGUUCGUUCGUUGAUUCGUUCUGUUUAUGGGAUUGUUAAAAAAAACGCUUUUCAGACACUGCACCAGCAACGUUUCUUUUUUUUUAUAUAUGCAUAUACAUAUAUCUAUCUAUAUCUUAUAUCUAUACAAAUAUUAAUUUACAAGUACGCGUGUAUAAUUCAUUCCAAUCGAAAGGGGCAGGCGUGUUAGACGUGUGGCGGUAAAUAAACGCGAAUUGAAAACGAUGGUUCCGCGUUGAGGGAAUAUUAAGGAGAUUUAACCUUUUUUUUACGAGAAUGCCAAGAAAUAUAGCGUCGCGAAAAGAUAAUCGUGAACGGAAAGCUGUAGGCUCGAUCCAACGUGAAACGCGGGUAAUUUUUGUGUUAAAGGCUAGUUUACGUUAGUCGGUCAGACAUUGAACGCUUCUGUCAGAAUACAUUCAGUUUCGAAUAGGCAUUCAACGAUGUACAAUCAAAACUAGACAGACAAAGAUUCCAGUUACGCCAAUGGUUUUUAACGAACCACUCCCCCCUUUACGUACAACAAUCUGUGUCUGAACGGAAUUGUUACGUGUCUGAAUGGACAAUAUAAACUGACCUUAACACGUUUUCGAUUACUAUACUACCGCCGUGUGAGUGUGUAUCGACUACGUUUCGAGGUUCGUCUGAUACAAAAAAAUCGAUAUUCCGAGAAUCGCGCACUCCUCGAUCGAUACCGUAAAACAAUAUUAAUAAAGAUAUUACCAAAACCGCGUUUAGAUAUGUAUAUAAGUUUAUUAAGGGCUGAGAUAGCAAACGCGAGCAAGCUAUUUUUUAUCGUGGUCGAAUCGCGAGAUAAGACGGGACUAAAUCCGUCGUGUAAUUUCUUCCAUUACGAACAGAGGGGGAAAAUAAGAUUUUCGAUGUUAAGAGAGAAUUUAAGAGAAAAACAACGUGACCGGGCCCAAAAGAAAAACGAUGAACGUCUUCUAGUAGCGUUGUAUUCUCGUUUAUUAGCAUGGGUUUAACGGAACGUAAAAGUCCUAGCUCUAGAGACGAGCGCACGUGUGUAUGCAUGCAAUGCAGACAGAGAUCUCAAGAUUUUCAAAUCACGAUCCUGUGUGUAUUCGUUCAAAUCAAGAUUAUCGAACUGAAUCAUGUUGAUAAAAAAGAAAACGGCCGCUCAAACGACGCGAAAACAACAGUCGCCGAUUUGUUUUCGAUUCGAACUGAGUUUCUUCGUUUUUUCCCGUGAGACGCCGAGAAUCGUUCUAAACUAUAAACGCGUUACGCCAGCGGUACAACACUUACGCGAGUGAAUCACGACUGUCGUUCCACCGCGCUAAAAAUACUGAGAAUGCACGGGAGAUUCCUUGCCGAUGGGGUAAAACGUUAUCUCGAGCUUUACUACCUCGCGUAACUCCGAUGAAGAUCUUUUAUUUUCUUUCUUCGGUCGAGUAUCGAAUCAUCGUUUCGUAUCUUUACAAUAAUAAGAAUAGCUCGAUGCUCGACGUUCCGAUUCAAAGAACGGGGGAAUAAAAAGAGAGACCGUUUCGCGUUGACCAGAACUGCGUACUUUUCAACGCAAAACAGUGCUCAAUCGGGUUUCGUUCACGCGAAGCAGGCUUACACCGGUGUCUCAGUGUUCCACGUUUAAAAAAACGUCUUAGUUUUAUCGUACUACGAACUAUAGCGUUUAGUUUAUAUCUUUGCUAAUUGUCGUGUCGACCUGCAUUUUAACGACUCGUUUUAAGGGUGACGCGUCGUUUCAUCAACGGCAUGAUGCGUGAACGCACGUGUCCGCUCGAUUUGUCGCGGUUAACGCUUUGAUCGGUGCAGUGAUCUAACUCGGUGAUGGACAAACGUGCACGCGAGGGCGCGGUGCACGGACGCGCAAGUGCUUUGAUGAGUCAAUUUCACAAAUUUCAAACUUUCCAUAUUCUCAAAUUUAUCGAAUUCCAAAAUUUUUACAUUCGAGACCCGUGAAUCUUCGACUCAUCACUGCACGCACCCGCAUGAUCUGCCCACCGCUGAUCCAACACAGUGCAAUAGGGUGCGCAGAAGCACUGCGCACCAGUUAACCUGUUGACCGGCCGAUUAUUCGAUCGAGAGAAAAGUCAUUUUCUUUCCGUAACAAAGAUUAACUCGUCUUGUCCGUAACAGAUACAAAUAGCCGACGAUGCAAUCGAAAGUAAAGAUCUCUCGACAAAACACUGAAAGUAUACAUCAGUCAAAUAGUAAGUCAACUCGUACCGGUUAAUAGGUUGAUAAUACCUUUUGGUUACUAACGCAAGGAUUAAAGUGUUAAAUCUUAACUUGCUCUAGCGUGUUUAUGUAAAGCAAACAUGGAAAAGCAACGUUAUCGUCAACUAAUGAACAAAACGUGGCCUCUGUUAUGCACACACUGUUUUAAUCGUAAACAGGACGUGUUUUCGACCUGUUUGGUGCAACUCGAGGUUUCUACCGAAAGGAUAAGAGCGUAACUUUGUGAACGUUGCCUAAACAUUAGGUUGCUGCGUGAGUUUGUAGGAAUGUUACGAAAAUUUUUAGUAUAUUUUAGGCGGAACAUCAAAUGAGUUACAAGUUGUAUUGGAUUCAUAUUAUAUAUAUCAAGCGAAAAUUUGAUGGUGCCAUACACGAAUAUUGUCGCCAUGCGAUAAUGUAGGACACUUUUGACCCAUAACAGAAUUUUUAUUAAAUACGUUUUAAAUUUAUCUUCCCGAUAAUACGUUACGUGUUUUAUACGCUUUUAGUAUGUACGUGUUUUCAAUAUAAUAUUUUAACGAAAUGUAAUAUAGAGAUGAAAGCAGUGCGUUAGGAAAUUGUAUAUAUUUUAUAAAUAUGUUUAUGAAACAUAUAUUUUUUAUUUAUACAUAUAUCACAUCGAUUUUAUUUGUCUUUUAGACGUUUUACCGUUUUGUAUCAUAUUGUUAAUCGCGUGGUAUCCAGAUCUUUUUGUAGAAAUGGGUCGAAAGUGACCCGGUUUUCAUGAAGUUUAGAUUUCUAAUUGUACGGAACUUGAGCAGCAACCUAAUAUCUUCGAAAAUGUGUAUAGAAAACGAAAGUAGUCGAACGGGGAGUUCGUUAAAUAGAAAAUAAUUACUCGCGUUGAUUUUUCGAAAAAGCACGUCAACUGGUUUGAUUCGCGCGAACAUUUCAACGAGAAACGAAAGAACGCUUAAAAGGGGGUUACAAAGAACGAGAUCUCGUCUUAAAAAAAGAACCAAUCGAUAUCCUACGUAUCUAUUCAUACUAUUUACUCGUUACUUUCCAAGUUAUUUUACUUGACGAUGACAAACUAACGAACGAGAAUGUGUGUGCGUGCGUGCGUGAACGACGCUUAACGCGCUCGCUGCCGCUCACUCGACAUCGCGUGCUGCCUCGAUAGCGUUAAAACCUCGCGGCACGCGACUCGAGUUCGACAACGAACGUGUUGAAGGGACGUUUUUAUCGGUUCCUCUAAAGUCGUUCCUCGGAUUAAUUUACCAUCGGCGGCAGGGUCAAUACUGGCCCAGACGGUGCUUCGAUUUAAAUUAAACAAUUGAAAUUUUUAAGCGAAAAUAUUCAUAUAUUGGAAAAAUAAUAUUUAAAGGUGUAAUGAAAUAUUUAGAAUACGAAAGAGAAUGAAAUAUUAAAGAUGAAUUUAAUCAAGUGUCUGAGUUUGACCGCGGUAUCGAUGACCCGCUGUCUGAAGUUUAAUUCGGUUAAUCGAUUAUAGAAACGACUUAAAUACUUGAAAGUAUCUGAACAGUUAAAUCUAAAGGAAAGAAGCGAAAAAAUGCGUCGUGUAACGAGCUAAUUAUUUCGUAAGACGUAUCGAACCGGAGUUCCAUCGUGUUCUUCGAUGCGUGAACAGGUGUUUCUUGGCGUCCUACACUUUACAAUUUUCUUCGCUACGAAAUAAAUAUCAGUAUUAAAAUUAUUC